CUCACGUCAGCAGGAGAUAGACUGAACUGGGAGCAAUACAGAGAUUAGUACAGCCAAUGUACAAGGAUGACAUGCACAUUCAUAAAGUUUUCCAUAUGUUU
Dipodomys ordii (Ord's kangaroo rat) is the source of this 101-nucleotide small nuclear RNA. NCBI's taxonomy places the organism in Eukaryota, Metazoa, Chordata, Mammalia, Rodentia, Heteromyidae. The record is from Ensembl.